AAGGUGGCUGAGUAAUUAGGCAUUAGAUUGUAAAUUUAAUUACGAGUUUUAAACUCUCUUAUUA
RNAcentral lists this transfer RNA (64 nucleotides) under Lomis hirta. RNAcentral describes it as "tRNA-Tyr". Lineage: Eukaryota; Metazoa; Arthropoda; Malacostraca; Decapoda; Lomidae. The record is from RNAcentral.